GACGAACGCUGGCGGCGUGCUUAACACAUGCAAGUCGAACGGGUCUGCCCUGUUUUUUGCGGGGUGGGUCAGUGGCGAACGGGUGAGUAACACGUGAGUAACCUGCCCCUCACUUCUGGAUAACCGCUUGAAAGGGUGGCUAAUACGGGGUGUUCUGGCUGUGCCGCAUGGUGUGGCUGGGAAAGAUUCACUUUUGUGGUGUUUUGGUGGGGGAUGGGCUCGCGGCCUAUCAGCUUGUUGGUGGGGUGAUGGCCUGCCAAGGCUUUGACGGGUAGCCGGCGUGGGAGGGUGGGCGGUCAGACUGGGACUGAGAUACAGCCCAGACUCCUGCGGGAGGCAGCAGUGGGGGGUAGUGCACAAUGGGCGGAAGCCUGAUGCAGCGACGUCGCGUGAGGGAUGGAGGCCUUCGGGUUGUGAACCUCUUUCGCCGGUGAAGAAGGUCCUGCUCUUUGUGGUGGGGUUGACGGUAGCCGGGUUAUGAAGCGCCGGCUAACUACGUG
RNAcentral lists this ribosomal RNA (500 nucleotides) under uncultured bacterium. RNAcentral describes it as "partial 16S ribosomal RNA". It matches the Rfam family "Bacterial small subunit ribosomal RNA", at positions 28 to 507 of the family's 1533-position model. The record is from RNAcentral.